RNAcentral lists this ribosomal RNA (385 nucleotides) under uncultured bacterium. RNAcentral describes it as "bacterial SSU rRNA". It matches the Rfam family "Bacterial small subunit ribosomal RNA", at positions 28 to 414 of the family's 1533-position model. The record is from RNAcentral.
GACGAACGCUGGCGGCGUGCUUAACACAUGCAAGUCGAGCGGUAAGGCCCUUUCGGGGGUACACGAGCGGCGAACGGGUGAGUAACACGUGGGUGACCUGCCCUCAGCUCUGGGAUAAGCCUGGGAAACUGGGUCUAAGUACUGGAUAUGACUCCACGGUGCAUGUCGUGGGGUGGAAAGCCUUGUGCGGCUGAGGAUGGGCCCGCGGCCUAUCAGCUUGUUGGGGGGUGAUGGCCUACCAAGGCGACGACGGGUAGCCGGCCUGAGAGGGCGACCGGCCACACUGGGACUGAGACACGGCCCAGACUCCUACGGGAGGCAGCAGUGGGGAAUCUUGCGCAAUGGGCGAAAGCCUGACGCAGCGACGCCGCGUGAGGGAUGACGG